RNAcentral lists this ribosomal RNA (202 nucleotides) under uncultured bacterium. Its description in RNAcentral is "partial 16S ribosomal RNA". It matches the Rfam family "Bacterial small subunit ribosomal RNA", at positions 524 to 725 of the family's 1533-position model. The record is from RNAcentral.
UACGUAGGGUGCGAGCGUUGUCCGGAAUUAUUGGGCGUAAAGAGCUUGUAGGCGGUUUGUCGCGUCUGCUGUGAAAUUUCGGGCGUCAACCCCGAACUGCAGUGGGUACGGGCAGACUAGAGUGUGGUAGGGGAGACUGGAAUUCCUGGUGUAGCGUGAAAUGCGCAGAUAUCAGGAGGAACACCGAUGGCGAAAGGGCAGG